UGAAAUGGCUAAACAACAUUAAAAUGUUAAGGAUGGACGCGUUGAGCGACAGGAUCCACUGAUGCAAACUACAAAACCCCGUUUUAGAUGAAAAGAUCUCAUUGCGUGAUUCACGUGUAACGGAGGCCAUCGGUUAGUGAGAGCUGUGUGUGCAGGUAAAGGCCGCGAGCGCUUCUCUACGGUGCCGUACCGAUGGCCGAUUCGAGACUCAGUGUGGGCGUCAAGUCGUCCAUUAAAGUGGAGUGUGUGAUCACAGAAAAGAAUGAAUUUGGCAAGAGUCCCGUCUGGGAGGAAAAAGACUCGUCUUUGGUGGGUCAGCUGGUGGAGUUCUCUCACUGGUCUUGAGGAGAGUAUCACUACAGAAACCUGUAGGAUCUGUGGUGCGAAAGGCAGACGGUUACGUCUUCGAGGAGGGGAUGUGCUUUGCGUUUGUUGACCGGGUCAUGCACUCCAUUACAACAGCUGCUCAGCUGGACAAGGAAAAGGCCAACGCUCGCUUCAGUGAUGGAAAAGUAAAACAGCUGGGAGGUUCUUUGCAGACCUGCCGCCGGCCGUGGUGGAGAGGAAACAGGGGUCUCUGUAUCCUGACCGUUCAUCAUUCAGACCAGGUGGACAUCUCCGACAGUUUGGACUGGUCACUGGAUCACCGCAUCUUUUUUCCACAUCAACACCCUGCCGUACAUGACUACCACAUCCAGACCGGCUGUCCAUACUGUAUUUAUUUUUCUGUGUGUGUGUGUGUGUGUGUAA
Molecule: long non-coding RNA, 750 nt
Organism: Triplophysa rosa
Lineage: Eukaryota; Metazoa; Chordata; Actinopteri; Cypriniformes; Nemacheilidae
Exons: 4
Source: RefSeq, a predicted model, not a curated record